GUGCUCGCUUCGGCAGCACAUAUACUAAAGUUGGAAUGAUACAGAGAAGAUUGCCAUGGCCCCUGCACACAGAUGACAGACGUGCAAAUUUGUGAAGCAUUCCAAAAAGAA
Molecule: small nuclear RNA, 111 nt
Organism: Apodemus sylvaticus (European woodmouse)
Lineage: Eukaryota; Metazoa; Chordata; Mammalia; Rodentia; Muridae
Source: RefSeq, a predicted model, not a curated record